Molecule: non-coding RNA, 72 nt
Organism: Bos taurus (domestic cattle)
Lineage: Eukaryota; Metazoa; Chordata; Mammalia; Artiodactyla; Bovidae
Source: Rfam
UCCCUGGUGGCUCAGAUGGUAAAGCAUCUACCUGCAAUGAGGAAGACCCAGGUUUGAUCCCUGGGUUGGGAA